RNAcentral lists this transfer RNA (74 nucleotides) under compost metagenome. RNAcentral describes it as "tRNA-Ser". The record is from RNAcentral.
UAAGGUGAUGGCAUAAGGCAAUGGCGCCUCGCUGGAAGCGGGGCGCCAUUGCUGUUCAGGGCAUCACGCGUUUA